This 433-nucleotide ribosomal RNA is filed under the name uncultured bacterium. RNAcentral's name for it is "partial 16S ribosomal RNA". It matches the Rfam family "Bacterial small subunit ribosomal RNA", at positions 29 to 507 of the family's 1533-position model. The record is from RNAcentral.
AACGAACGCUGGCGGCAUGCCUAACACAUGCAAGUCGAACGAGACCUUCGGGUCUAGUGGCGCACGGGUGCGUAACGCUUGGGAACCUGCCCUUAGGUUCGGAAUAACUCCCCGUAAGGGGUGCUAAUACCGGAUAAUGUCUUCGGACCAAAGAUUUAUCGCCUUUGGAUGGGCCCGCGUUGGAUUAGCUAGUUGGUAGGGUAAAAGCCUACCAAGGCGACGAUCCAUAGCUGGUCUGAGAGGAUGAUCAGCCACACUGGGACUGAGACACGGCCCAGACUCCUACGGGAGGCAGCAGUGGGGAAUAUUGGACAAUGGGCGAAAGCCUGAUCCAGCAAUGCCGCGUGAGUGAUGAAGGCCUUAGGGUUGUAAAGCUCUUUUACCCGGGAUGAUAAUGACAGUACCGGGAGAAUAAGCUCCGGCUAACUCCGUG